Molecule: ribosomal RNA, 1486 nt
Filed under: uncultured Bacteroidota bacterium
Lineage: Bacteria; Pseudomonadati; Bacteroidota
Description: bacterial SSU rRNA
Rfam family: Bacterial small subunit ribosomal RNA
Source: RNAcentral
AGAGUUUGAUCCUGGCUCAGGAUGAACGCUAGCGGCAGGCUUAAUACAUGCAAGUCGAGGGGCAGCACUGGUAGCAAUACCUGGUGGCGACCGGCGGACGGGUGCGUAACACGUAUGCAACCUACCCUGUACAGGGGGAUAGCCCGAGGAAAUUCGGAUUAAUACCCCAUACGAUAAGAAUCGGCAUCGAUUUUUAUUGAAAGCUCCGGCGGUACAGGAUGGGCAUGCGCCCCAUUAGCUAGUUGGUGAGGUAACGGCUCACCAAGGCUACGAUGGGUAGGGGGCCUGAGAGGGUGAUCCCCCACACUGGAACUGAGACACGGUCCAGACUCCUACGGGAGGCAGCAGUAAGGAAUAUUGGUCAAUGGGCGCAAGCCUGAACCAGCCAUGCCGCGUGCAGGAAGACUGCCAUUAUGGUUGUAAACUGCUUUUAUAUGGGAAGAAACCUCCGGACGUGUCCGGAGCUGACGGUACCAUGUGAAUAAGGAUCGGCUAACUCCGUGCCAGCAGCCGCGGUAAUACGGAGGAUCCAAGCGUUAUCCGGAUUUAUUGGGUUUAAAGGGUGCGUAGGCGGCGUGUUAAGUCAGAGGUGAAAUUCGGCAGCUCAACUGUCAAAUUGCCUUUGAUACUGGCACACUUGAAUGCGAUUGAGGUAGGCGGAAUGUGACAUGUAGCGGUGAAAUGCUUAGACAUGUGACAGAACACCGAUUGCGAAGGCAGCUUACCAAGUCGUUAUUGACGCUGAGGCACGAAAGCGUGGGGAGCAAACAGGAUUAGAUACCCUGGUAGUCCACGCCGUAAACGAUGAUAACUCGACGUUAGCGAUACACUGUUAGCGUCCAAGCGAAAGCGUUAAGUUAUCCACCUGGGAAGUACGAUCGCAAGGUUGAAACUCAAAGGAAUUGACGGGGGCCCGCACAAGCGGUGGAGCAUGUGGUUUAAUUCGAUGAUACGCGAGGAACCUUACCAGGGCUUAAAUGGGGAACGACCUUCUGGGAAACCAGAAUUUCUUUUAGACGGUCCUCAAGGUGCUGCAUGGUUGUCGUCAGCUCGUGCCGUGAGGUGUUGGGUUAAGUCCCGCAACGAGCGCAACCCCUACUGUUAGUUGCCAGCGGAUAAUGCCGGGGACUCUAGCGGAACUGCCUGUGCAAACAGAGAGGAAGGUGGGGAUGACGUCAAAUCAUCACGGCCCUUACGUCCUGGGCUACACACGUGCUACAAUGGCCGGUACAGAGGGCAGCCACUUCGUGAGAAGGAGCGAAUCCUUAAAGCCGGUCUCAGUUCGGAUUGUAGUCUGCAACUCGACUACAUGAAGCUGGAAUCGCUAGUAAUCGCGUAUCAGCCAUGACGCGGUGAAUACGUUCCCGGGCCUUGUACACACCGCCCGUCAAGCCAUGGGAAUUGGGAGUACCUAAAGUCGGUAACCGCAAGGAGCCGCCUAAGGUAAUACCAGUGACUGGGGCUAAGUCGUAACAAGGUAGCCGUA